AAUUCUCUACAAAAAAGGAAAAUAAAAAAGGCUAUCCACUUAUUUUGAGGGGAAGGACGAAAUCCACAAAACGGUCUCCCUUUCCAUCACCCACAUGACCACACGCUACCUCUUUUCUCUCUGACUCACUCCAUCUCUCUCACCUCACACUCUCUCAACGAAAUUCACCCUCCUUCACCUCUCAUCUUCACCAUAAAAUCCACAAAACUCCACCAACAAACCAAAACGGCAUCUCCUUCAUCCUCACUUCUACCUUCCGUUUCCACCUCCACAAAAAACCACCGAAAAAUAACAACCAUAAACCACCAUCUCCGGUCACACAUCCACCACAUCAACGUCGUCGACCGUGACGACCCCAACAACAACACCUCCACCACGAAACCCUCGCGUCUCUCCACCACCCUAACCGCCGCCGUCGCCAAACCCUUCAACACAUCACACUACAACUUCAAACACACAACCUCACUCCGACCACCAUCUUCCGCUUCGCCGGCGAAGCCCUCAUCAAAACUCACCAUCGAUUUUCCACCAUACUCAACAUCU
This 543-nucleotide long non-coding RNA is filed under the name Lathyrus oleraceus (garden pea). RNAcentral's name for it is "Pisum sativum (pea) long non-coding RNA (PSAT_LNC037922)". Lineage: Eukaryota; Viridiplantae; Streptophyta; Magnoliopsida; Fabales; Fabaceae. The record is from RNAcentral.